CCUUCUCAUAAUCCUUCUCAAAGUCAACCGUGUCGUCACAAGACUCAGGAAACCCUCCUUCCUCCAUGUCCUCACCCACAUACCAGUGAGGAAAAAAAGCACGCUUGGCAUACAUCAGGUCAAAUUUGUGGUCUAGGAGAACCCAGGCCUCAGCAAUGACUGUGGUGUUGCUCAGCAUGCACACAGCUCACUGUACUUUGGACAGGUCUUCACCAGGUACCACAGUGGGAGGCUGGUAAUUAAUACCAACUUGAAAGUCAGUGGGAUACUAGUCCACAAACUGGAUAGUAUACUUGGUCUUAAUGGGGGCAAUGGCACCAUUGACAUCUUUGGGAACCACAUUGCCACAGUACUAUAGGUAUCAAACCAUGUAUUUACCAUGAUGAGAGUCACAUUUCUCCAUCUUUUUGGCCACUCAAAGCAUGCAGUGGUGAUCUUUGCUACAGAAAGCUGUUCAUGGUAGGCUUUCUCAACAGAAAUGAUGGGCAUAUGUGACCAGAGGGAAAUGGAUUUGGGGAUAAGGAACCAGGUUGGUCUGGAAUUCUGUCAGGUCAACAUUCAGGGCUCCAUCAAUUCUGAGGGAAGCAGUGAUGGAAGACCCAAUCUGACCUACCAAUCUACCAGGUUAUGUAUGUUGGGUGUUCAAUACCAAAGUUUCUGUGACAGAUGUCAUAGAUAGCCUCAUUGUCUACCAUGAAGGCAUAAUCAGAGUGCUCCAGGUGGUAUGGGUAGUGAGAAGGAAGUUGUAGGGCUCAACUACAGCUCUGGGGCUGGGUAAAUAAAGAAAUCCAGCUUGGACUUCUUGCCAUAAUAAAGAGACAUUCCAUCAGCAGGGAGGUGAA
This 842-nucleotide long non-coding RNA is filed under the name Lynx pardinus (Iberian lynx). Lineage: Eukaryota; Metazoa; Chordata; Mammalia; Carnivora; Felidae. The record is from RNAcentral.